This is a long non-coding RNA of Drosophila montana, 310 nucleotides long. RefSeq lists it as uncharacterized. The transcript is spliced from 2 exons. The record is from RefSeq and is a predicted model, not a curated record. NCBI's taxonomy places the organism in Eukaryota, Metazoa, Arthropoda, Insecta, Diptera, Drosophilidae.
AAUUCUUAACUGAUCAUUGAAUGCCCGACGCGAACACAACAUUUGUCGUCGAGCGAAUCAAAACAAAGAGGGAGCACAAAAACAAAUUAUAUGCCCCAAAAGCUGAGCUUAUGAAAUAGCAACCACUACACAUGUAUGCAAAGAAACACACACACACACACAGACACGUCUUAUUGUAGGCCGAUCUGGGCAAGGCAAAGCCAACGAGCGAUCAUAACUGGCCCGACAUCCGAGUGGCACUGGCACCUCGUGCGUAAGUCAAAGUGCCGGCAACGCAAUGUGUUGCUACACACAUGCACACACACACACA